AGCGAACGCUGGCGGCGUGCCUAACACAUGCAAGUCGAACGUGAAAGGGAGCAAUCCCAAGUAAAGUGGCGUACGGGUGAGUAACACGUAGGUAAUCUACCCCAGAAUCUGGAGUAACCGGCCGAAAGGCUGGCUAAUACUGGAUAGAGCGACGGAAUCCGUAAUUGGGUUUUUCGGGAAAGGGAGCCUGUAAAAAGGCCUUCGUUCUGGGAUGAGCCUGCGUCCCAUCAGCUAGUUGGUGAGGUAAAAGCUUACCAAGGCAAUGACGGGUAGCUGGUCUGAGAGGACGAUCAGCCACACUGGAACUGAAACACGGUCCAGACUCCUACGGGAGGCAGCAGUGGGGAAUCUUGCGCAAUGGACGAAAGUCUGACGCAGCAACGCCGCGUGAGUGAAGAAGGCCUUCGGGUUGUAAAGCUCUGUCGAGUGGGACGAAAAUGCUUGGAGUUCACAGCUCCAGGAACUGACGGUACCACUAAAGGAAGCACCGGCUAACUCCGUG
This 502-nucleotide ribosomal RNA is filed under the name uncultured bacterium. RNAcentral describes it as "partial 16S ribosomal RNA". It matches the Rfam family "Bacterial small subunit ribosomal RNA", at positions 29 to 507 of the family's 1533-position model. The record is from RNAcentral.